RNAcentral lists this signal recognition particle RNA (263 nucleotides) under Defluviitaleaceae bacterium. Its description in RNAcentral is "signal recognition particle sRNA large type". It matches the Rfam family "Bacterial large signal recognition particle RNA". Rfam says of the family: The signal recognition particle (SRP) is a universally conserved ribonucleoprotein involved in the co-translational targeting of proteins to membranes. Archaeal SRP consists of a 7S RNA and homologues of the eukaryotic SRP19 and SRP54 proteins. In most bacteria, the SRP consists of a 4.5S RNA and the Ffh protein (a homologue of the eukaryotic SRP54 protein). Lineage: Bacteria; Bacillati; Bacillota; Clostridia; Lachnospirales; Defluviitaleaceae. RNAcentral also lists the same sequence under 1 other name. The record is from RNAcentral.
CCGUGCUAGCCGGGGAGUUAGCGGUGCCCUGUACCUGCAAUCCGCUACAGCAGGGGCGAUGCCUGCCCGAGGCAGUAUUUUUUAGGGUCUGGCUUUUGCAAGUGGCGAUGAGAAUCGGGUCUUGCGCAACAGAAGUUUGUGAACCGUGUCAGGUCCGGAAGGAAGCAGCACUAAGCAAAUAUCUCUGUGUGCCGCGAGGUAGCCUAAUUUGAGCUAACUGCAAAAGUAACGCCUGGGGAGCGCUGUCGACGGCAGGUGCACGG